Molecule: long non-coding RNA, 474 nt
Filed under: Bos taurus (domestic cattle)
Lineage: Eukaryota; Metazoa; Chordata; Mammalia; Artiodactyla; Bovidae
Description: long non-coding RNA NONBTAT001672
Source: RNAcentral
GCUAGUGACAGGGUCAGUGUUUGACAGAUGAUAGUCUACACACAACCAAAGGACGGUUAUUACUUGAAACCACAACUUCUUACUUAAAAUCACUCCUUCCAGAAAGGGUGACUCUUGCUAAGAUUAAAUUCUUGAAAAGUCCUUUUCUUUAGCUGAGGACCUUGAUGGGUUUGGGAUCAGUAAAGCCAAGCCUGGAGUUUAGUGGGAGGAGGGUUAGAGAAAAUCACAUAGGUGUGCUUAAGAGAGGCAAGAACUCAGGGUUCGGGGGGUACCCAGGAAUGGGGGGUUGAGGAGCAGAGAUGUGAGCACAAGAGGAGAGACAGGACAGAAAAAAUGGCAGGAAGCCAGGGUCCUAUGAAAACCCUGCUGAUGCGACAGGCAAUGGUUUUAGAAAUAGAGACAUACACUAUUUCAGUUGAAAUCUAAGUUCUUUAUAAAAUCUUUGUUCAGUAAUAAUGUAUUCACUUAAUUUUC